GCGCAGCAGGCGCGAAACCUCCGCAAUACACGAAAGUGUGACGGGGCCAUCCCGAGUGCCGUCCGCUGAGGACGGCUUUUCCCCAGUGUACACAGCUGGGGGAAUAAGGAGAGGGCAAGCCUGGUGUCAGCCGCCGCGGUAAUACCAGCUCUCCGAGUGGUGGGGACGCUUAUUGGGCCUAAAGCAUCCGUAGCCGGCUGGGCAAGUCCUCCGUUAAAUCCAACGAUUCAAUCGUUGGGCUGCGGGGGAUACUGUCCAGCUUGGGGGCGGGAGAGGCCGACGGUAUUCCCGGGGUAGGGGUGAAAUCCUAUAAUCCCGGGAGGACCACCAGUGGCGAAGGCUGUCGGCUAGAACGCGCCCGACGGUGAGGGAUGGAAAAGCUGGGGGAGCGAACCGGGAUUAGAUACCCCU
Molecule: ribosomal RNA, 411 nt
Filed under: uncultured microorganism
Description: bacterial SSU rRNA
Rfam family: Archaeal small subunit ribosomal RNA
Source: RNAcentral